GUCUGAAUAUGGGGGGACCAUCCUCCAAGGCUAAAUACUACUGACUGACCGAUAGUGAACCAGUACCGUGAGGGAAAGGCGAAAAGAACCGCGGAGAGCGGAGUGAAAUAGAUCCUGAAACCGUAUGCGUACAAGCAGUGGGAGCCCACUUUGUUGGGUGACUGCGUACCUUUUGUAUAAUGGGUCAGCGACUUAUUUUCAGUGGCGAGCUUAACCGAAUAGGGGAGGCGUAGCGAAAGCGAGUCUUAAUAGGGCGUCUAGUCGCUGGGAAUAGACCCGAAACCGGGCGAUCUAUCCAUGGGCAGGUUGAAGGUUGGGUAACACUAACUGGAGGACCGAACCGACUACCGUUGAAAAGUUAGCGGAUGACCUGUGGAUCGGAGUGAAAGGCUAAUCAAGCUCGGAGAUAGCUGGUUCUCCUCGAAAGCUAUUUAGGUAGCGCCUCAUGUAUCACUGUAGGGGGUAGAGCACUGUUUCGGCUAGGGGGUCAUCCCGACUUACCAAACCGAUGCAAACUCCGAAUACCUACAAGUGCCGAGCAUGGGAGACACACGGCGGGUGCUAACGUCCGUCGUGAAAAGGGAAACAACCCAGACCGUCAGCUAAGGUCCCAAAGUCAUGGUUAAGUGGGAAACGAUGUGGGAAGGCUUAGACAGCUAGGAGGUUGGCUUAGAAGCAGCCACCCUUUAAAGAAAGCGUAAUAGCUCACUAGUCGAGUCGGCCUGCGCGGAAGAUGUAACGGGGCUCAAACCAUGCACCGAAGCUACGGGUAUCACCUUUGGUGAUGCGGUAGAGGAGCGUUCUGUAAGCCUGUGAAGGUGAGUUGAGAAGCUUGCUGGAGGUAUCAGAAGUGCGAAUGCUGACAUGAGUAACGACAAUGGGUGUGAAAAACACCCACGCCGAAAGACCAAGGUUUCCUGCGCAACGUUAAUCGACGCAGGGUUAGUCGGUCCCUAAGGCGAGGCUGAAAAGCGUAGUCGAUGGAAAACAGGUUAAUAUUCCUGUACUUCUGGUUAUUGCGAUGGAGGGACGGAGAAGGCUAGGCCAGCCUGGCGUUGGUAGUCCAGGUUUAAGGUGGUAGGCUGAGAUCUUAGGUAAAUCCGGGAUCUUAAGGCCGAGAGCUGAUGACGAGUGUUCUUUUAGAACAUGAAGUGGUUGAUGCCAUGCUUCCAAGAAAAGCUUCUAAGCUUCAGGUAACCAGGAACCGUACCCCAAACCGACACAGGUGGUUGGGUAGAGAAUACCAAGGCGCUUGAGAGAACUCGGGUGAAGGAACUAGGCAAAAUGGCACCGUAACUUCGGGAGAAGGUGCGCCGGUGAGGGUGAAGCAUUUACUGCGUAAGCCCACGCCGGUCGAAGAUACCAGGCCGCUGCGACUGUUUAUUAAAAACACAGCACUCUGCAAACACGAAAGUGGACGUAUAGGGUGUGACGCCUGCCCGGUGCCGGAAGGUUAAUUGAUGGGGUUAGCGCAAGCGAAGCUCUUGAUCGAAGCCCCGGUAAACGGCGGCCGUAACUAUAACGGUCCUAAGGUAGCGAAAUUCCUUGUCGGGUAAGUUCCGACCUGCACGAAUGGCGUAACGAUGGCGGCGCUGUCUCCACCCGAGACUCAGUGAAAUUGAAAUCGCUGUGAAGAUGCAGUGUAUCCGCGGCUAGACGGAAAGACCCCGUGAACCUUUACUAUAGCUUUGCACUGGACUUUGAAUUUGCUUGUGUAGGAUAGGUGGGAGGCUUUGAAGCGUGGACGCCAGUCUGCGUGGAGCCAACCUUGAAAUACCACCCUGGCAACUUUGAGGUUCUAACUCAGGUCCGUUAUCCGGAUCGAGGACAGUGUAUGGUGGGUAGUUUGACUGGGGCGGUCUCCUCCUAAAGAGUAACGGAGGAGUACGAAGGUGCGCUCAGACCGGUCGGAAAUCGGUCGUAGAGUAUAAAGGCAAAAGCGCGCUUGACUGCGAGACAGACACGUCGAGCAGGUACGAAAGUAGGUCUUAGUGAUCCGGUGGUUCUGUAUGGAAGGGCCAUCGCUCAACGGAUAAAAGGUACUCCGGGGAUAACAGGCUGAUACCGCCCAAGAGUUCAUAUCGACGGCGGUGUUUGGCACCUCGAUGUCGGCUCAUCACAUCCUGGGGCUGAAGCCGGUCCCAAGGGUAUGGCUGUUCGCCAUUUAAAGUGGUACGCGAGCUGGGUUUAGAACGUCGUGAGACAGUUCGGUCCCUAUCUGCCGUGGACGUUUGAGAUUUGAGAGGGGCUGCUCCUAGUACGAGAGGACCGGAGUGGACGAACCUCUGGUGUUCCGGUUGUCACGCCAGUGGCAUUGCCGGGUAGCUAUGUUCGGAAAAGAUAACCGCUGAAAGCAUCUAAGCGGGAAACUUGCCUCAAGAUGAGAUCUCACUGGAACCUAGAGUUCCCUGAAGGGCCGUCGAAGACUACGACGUUGAUAGGUUGGGUGUGUAAGCGCUGUGAGGCGUUGAGCUAACCAAUACUAAUUGCCCGUGAGGCUUGACC
RNAcentral lists this ribosomal RNA (2505 nucleotides) under Pseudomonas syringae pv. actinidiae. RNAcentral describes it as "bacterial LSU rRNA". It matches the Rfam family "Bacterial large subunit ribosomal RNA", at positions 436 to 2925 of the family's 2925-position model. Lineage: Bacteria; Pseudomonadati; Pseudomonadota; Gammaproteobacteria; Pseudomonadales; Pseudomonadaceae. The record is from RNAcentral.